Molecule: ribosomal RNA, 498 nt
Filed under: uncultured bacterium
Lineage: Bacteria
Description: bacterial SSU rRNA
Rfam family: Bacterial small subunit ribosomal RNA
Source: RNAcentral
AAUACAUGCAAGUCGAACGCACUCUCGUUUAGAUUGAAGGAGGCUUGCUCCUGAUUGAUAAACAUUUGAGUGAGUGGCGGACGGGUGAGUAACACGUGGGUAACCUGCCCUAAAGUGGGGAUAACAUUUGGAAACAGAUGCUAAUACCGCAUAAAACCUAACACCGCAUGGUGUAGGGUUGAAAGAUGGUUUCGGCUAUCACUUUAGGAUGGACCCGCGGUGCAUUAGUUAGUUGGUGAGGUAAAGGCUCACCAAGACCGUGAUGCAUAGCCGACCUGAGAGGGUAAUCGGCCACACUGGGACUGAGACACGGCCCAGACUCCUACGGGAGGCAGCAGUAGGGAAUCUUCCACAAUGGACGGAAGUCUGAUGGAGCAACGCCGCGUGAGUGAAGAAGGUUUUCGGAUCGUAAAACUCUGUUGUUGGAGAAGAAUGUAUCUGAUAGUAACUGAUCAGGUAGUGACGGUAUCCAACCAGAAAGCCACGGCUAACUACGUG